RNAcentral lists this ribosomal RNA (260 nucleotides) under uncultured bacterium. Its description in RNAcentral is "partial 16S ribosomal RNA". It matches the Rfam family "Bacterial small subunit ribosomal RNA", at positions 793 to 1055 of the family's 1533-position model. The record is from RNAcentral.
GUCCAUGCCGUAAACGGUGGGCACUAGGUGUGGGGACUUUCAACGGUUUCCGUGCCGAAGCUAACGCAUUAAGUGCCCCGCCUGGGGAGUACGGCCGCAAGGCUAAAACUCAAAGGAAUUGACGGGGCCCGCACAAGCGGCGGAGCAUGUUGCUUAAUUCGAGGCAACGCGAAGAACCUUACCUGGGUUUGACAUGUACCGAAAAGCCAUAGAGAUAUGGUGUCCUUCGGGGCGGUACACAGGUGGUGCAUGGCUGUCGU